Molecule: ribosomal RNA, 253 nt
Filed under: uncultured bacterium
Lineage: Bacteria
Description: partial 16S ribosomal RNA
Rfam family: Bacterial small subunit ribosomal RNA
Source: RNAcentral
UACGUAGGGUGCGAGCGUUAAUCGGAAUUACUGGGCGUAAAGCGUGCGCAGGCGGCUUUGCAAGACAGAUGUGAAAUCGCCGGGCUCAACCUGGGAACUGCAUUUGUGACUGCAAGGCUAGAGUACGGCAGAGGGGGAUGGAAUUCCGCGUGUAGCAGUGAAAUGCGUAGAUAUGCGGAGGAACACCAAUGGCGAAGGCAAUCCCCUGGGCCUGUACUGACGCUCAUGCACGAAAGCGUGGGGAGCAAACAGG